CAGCCCCACCUGGCUUUGAAGCUUGUGGUCAGUGGCCUUGGAGCGAGCUCGUCGUGGGGAUGCAAACAAGAGUUUGACAAACAAAACCCCAAACCCAGUUGCUUAUUAAAAUCCACAUACAUCGCUCUUCUCGAAUACACCCCAUCCCCCAAAGUCCCUGCCCUUCGUUUUAUUAUCCCCUUUGCUCUGUCUCUCUGAAGUCCUAGUCUUUCCUCAUCAUUUCGUGCAUAUAGAUUUGGUGGUGGGUUUUGUGUCUUAUUCUAAGUUGGAUUUUUGUUUAUGAGGUUUUAGUUGGGUUUGGUUUUUGGUUGCUGGCUCGGGAAGUCUGCACAUGGACCUUUUGUUGUUAUAUAUUGGUUAGUGUCGGAGACAUGAGAGUGGAAGGGAUUUAUAAGUAUGCGAACACUUUGUGACGCUUGCGAGAGCGCGGCCGCUAUCGUGUUUUGCGCUGCCGAUGAGGCCGCUCUCUGCCGUUCCUGCGACGAAAAGGUUCACAUGUGCAACAAGCUUGCUAGCCGGCAUGUACGGGUUGGUCUCGCAAAUCCCAGUGAUGUUCCCCGUUGUGACAUAUGUGAAAAUGCACCUGCUUUCUUUUACUGUGAGGUGGAUGGAAGUUCCCUGUGUUUGCAAUGUGACCUGAUUGUUCAUGUUGGAGGAAAGCGAACACAUGGAAGAUAUCUUCUGUUUAGGCAGAGAGUUGAGUUCCCAGGAGAUAAAGCUGGUCUUCUUGAAGAGCCAGCCAUGCACCCCGUGGGUCCAGGUGAGAACAGAAGAGGACAAAACCAGCCUCCUAAACUGACAAUGGGAGAGAACCAGCAAAAUCAGAGGGCCUCUUCUGUUCCAAAUUCAGAUGCAAAUGCUGAUGGGCAUUCAAAGAUGGAUAAAAUGAUUGAUUUGAAUAUCCAGCCUCACCGAAUGCAUGAACAGGCGUCAAACAAUCAGGGACAUAAAGAGAUCCCACGCUUUUUUGGAACUCAUUUGGUCCAGAGCUGUCCCAUCCCGUUCCAGAACUGUCCCAGCCCGUUGUUUGAGCUUCGUCAUCCCGUUUCUAGUGUUUUUGUCCUGUUCAUUUGAGCUUUUUCAUCCCCUUUCGUGUGCUUCUAUAAGUGUCAUUUGGUUGUCUGCUGCUAUUGACAUUUGGUUUGCUUCCUGAAAUUUAUAUAUGCAAAACCCAGCAUAAAAAAUUAUACCCAAUGUCUGCAAAACGAUCAAAAAUAUAACUCUCGUCGCUUCCCUCAUGCUUCUCUUCCCUUCUUGGCCACGAAGAUGACGGGCUUCGCCUUUGCCCACGGCCAGGAGGAGCAGCACAAACCCAAAAACUUCAAUAUUUUCUGUCUGUUCCUAUUCGAAAUAAAGCUGUUCCUUGUGAUUGUAAGUAUAGUAGUGUUGUGCCAAAGUUUGAUGACG
Juglans microcarpa x Juglans regia is the source of this 1407-nucleotide RNA transcript. It is a transcript of the gene named B-box zinc finger protein 19-like, with no coding region annotated. The record is from RefSeq and is a predicted model, not a curated record. Lineage: Eukaryota; Viridiplantae; Streptophyta; Magnoliopsida; Fagales; Juglandaceae. The transcript is spliced from 6 exons.